UUCUGUCUCUCCACUUCUGGUAAUAGUGUAUUUCUUUCUUGGUUGUCCUUUCUCUCUUUAUGUAUUUGUAAAAUCAUAGUACCUGCCCACAAAGUCAGCAAAUGACUCAGGGCAUGUCAAACACUGUAAACCAGCAGCAUUCCAGGUGGUGAGAAGGAAUCACUCAUGUUUUAAAACAGAAUUAUGUAAAUGUGUUUAUCACUUCAUAAUUUAACAAUUGAAUAAGUUAAUCUUUUUAUCUCACUAGAUAACCAGAAAAGAUAUAUAUUACUCAAUGCUAAAUUUCAGUAGGUUAUUUUUAACUAUGCACAUGGGAAAUCAUGAAAUAUAUUCCAAAUUUCUAUGCAACACACUAAAGAAUAUGCAUUGUUUCUGAUUUUCAAGUGUUUAAGAUAAGGCCAAAUCAGAAUUUUAAACUGAAGGGAAAUGUUGAUAUGUGAGUAUUUUUGUUCUCAAAUCUUCAGAGAUGGAGGCAAGUGGAGAACACAUGGCUUUCACAGCAUACCCAUAAGGAACCGAUGAAAAAUUCAUGUGCUUUGCUUCUUUGUAGGGACCUGGAUGAUCUUUAUGACUUCUGCUCAAAUUUCUUUCUAAGAACUCAGUCUGUACUUCAUCUACCUGUAAGGGAUGGUCUACCCUUACAAGGGUAGUCCAUCUUUGAGUCCAGGAAGAAAUUAAUAAUUAGUUUGGCAUUGCCUGAAUGAAGUACGUUUGUGUAGCCUAGCCUAGAACAGGCUGCUAUUUACUCGUGAACAUUUGACUCAUCAAAAAUGAUGCUUUCGCAAUAUGCCAAACAACCUCCGAAUUAACACUAGACCCCUGCCUUGCACAACUCUCAAGAACUGUGGGAAGCUUAUGUCAUCUGAACUGGUGCGUCUUUUGCUACUGUCAUCACCUAGGGACACCAGACUCCAACUUCUUCAAUCUCUCAAUGCUGUCUCAUACUAGUAUCUCUUCAGGGAGUUUGUAGGCCUUGAGCCCUGGAGGGGUACUGCAUAUCUGAUCCUUCUUCUGAAGCUUCCAGCCUUUUGGACUGAACUGCUACCAGAUCCUCUGGCUAUGCAGCACCCAGGGACUCAUAGCUAAGAAUUUGCCUUGAAUCUCAGAGGAGACUUUGGACUUGGACUUUUCAGUAAUCCUGGGACUGAUCAUAACUGAUAAUUCUCAGAGAUGAACUAAUUUUGCAUAAUUAGAUAGACAUUAGCCCUUUGUGGAACAAGACCAGAAUGUUAUGAUUUAGAUCUAAAAGGCACCUCCCAAAGUUUCCUGUGUUGAGAGGAGCUGAAUCCCAGGGAAACCUUUGAGAAAUUCUAAUCCCCAGUCUUGGAUCCAUGAACAUCAGGUGGACCUGCGGGCUUCCACAAAGUUGUUUCUAUUCAGAAAUUGCCAAAACAGUGCUAGUGCACAUACCACAAGGAUGCUCAAGACAGCACUGCAAAAAGCAGGUCCACUAAAACGCUUUGGGGUGCAGAGGAACUGUGUGAAGAAGCUGCCGGGCUGUGAAUCCGAUUCCAAAGGAUGAUCUAACACAGCUGUCUCCACUGACUGUGUGCCGUCCUUGUUGAAAGUGUAUCAUAAACUUUUUGGAUCUCAGAACUCCAGAUGCCAUUUUAUUCCUUAUGAAAGUCAAACAGGUAUGAGAAUAGUGAAAGGAUGCUAUUUCUGAUUUUAAAUCCGGUCUCAUUUCCUCUUUCCUCUCCUCUCUGGUUCUGUUCUAGCCUGCGAUGCUUUGCAUCUUUGUCUAAAAUUAAUGCCUCAAAAUACAUCUAGGUUGAUAACAAGUAAAUAAAAAUGAGAAUUUAUUUUUCCAAUAUCACCUAAUCAA
Long non-coding RNA from Cavia porcellus (domestic guinea pig), 1825 nucleotides. RefSeq lists it as uncharacterized. NCBI's taxonomy places the organism in Eukaryota, Metazoa, Chordata, Mammalia, Rodentia, Caviidae. The record is from RefSeq and is a predicted model, not a curated record. The transcript has 7 exons.